Molecule: ribosomal RNA, 253 nt
Filed under: uncultured bacterium
Lineage: Bacteria
Description: partial 16S ribosomal RNA
Rfam family: Bacterial small subunit ribosomal RNA
Source: RNAcentral
UACGUAGGGGGCAAGCGUUGUCCGGAAUCAUUGGGCGUAAAGAGCGUGUAGGCGGCCCGGUAAGUCCGCUGUGAAAGUCCAGGGCUCAACCCUGGGAUGCCGGUGGAUACUGUCGGGCUCGAGUCCGGAAGAGGAGUGUGGAAUUCCUGGUGUAGCGGUGAAAUUCGUUGAUAUCAGGAGGAACACCGGCGGCGAAGGCGGCCCCCUGGCCCGCAACUGACGCUCAUGGUCGAAAGCGUGGGGAGCAAACAGG